RNAcentral lists this ribosomal RNA (405 nucleotides) under uncultured Ruminococcus sp. RNAcentral describes it as "bacterial SSU rRNA". It matches the Rfam family "Bacterial small subunit ribosomal RNA", at positions 354 to 770 of the family's 1533-position model. Lineage: Bacteria; Bacillati; Bacillota; Clostridia; Eubacteriales; Oscillospiraceae. The record is from RNAcentral.
UGGGGGAAUAUUGCACAAUGGGGGAAACCCGUACGAUGCAGCGACGCCGCGUGAGCGAAGAAGUAUUUCGGUAUGUAAAGCUCUAUCAGCAGGGAAGAAAAUAGACGGUACCUGACUAAGAAGCCCCGGCUAACUACGUGCCAGCAGCCGCGGUAAUACGUAGGGGCGAAGCGUUAUCCGGAUUUACUGGGUGUAAAGGGAGCGUAGACGGAAUGGCAAGUCUGAUGUGAAAAGGCCGGGGCUCAACCCCCGGGACUGCAUUGGAAACUGUCAAUCUGGAGUACCGGAGGGGUAAGUGGAAUUCCUAGUGUAGCGGUGAAAUGCGUAGAUAUUAGGAGGAACACCAGUGGCGAAGGCGGCUUACUGGACGGUAACUGACGUUGAGGCUCGAAAGCGUGGGGAGCA